CUUGUGCUUUUGGAGCGGCCGAUGCCUGAUUAGCUAGUUGGUAAGGUAAAGGCUUACCAAGGCUUCGAUCAGUAGUUGGUCUGAGAGGACGACCAGCCACACUGGGACUGAGACACGGCCCAGACUCCUACGGGAGGCAGCAGUGGGGAACUUUGGACAAUGGGGGAAACCCUGAUCCAGCCAUGCCGCGUGAGUGAAGAAGGCCUUCGGGUUGUAAAGCUCUUUCAGUUGAGAAGAAAAGAUUACGACUAAUAAUCGUGAUUCAUGACGGUAUCAACAGAAGAAGCACCGGCUAACUACGUGCCAGCAGCCGCGGUAAUACGUAGGGUGCGAGCGUUAAUCGGAAUUACUGGGCGUAAAGGGUGCGCAGGCGGUCUUGUAAGUCAGAUGUGAAAUCCCCGGGCUUAACCUGGGAACUGCGUUUGAAACUACAAGGCUAGACUCCGAUCCCCUACUUUCCUCCA
Molecule: ribosomal RNA, 464 nt
Filed under: uncultured ammonia-oxidizing beta proteobacterium
Lineage: Bacteria; Pseudomonadati; Pseudomonadota; Betaproteobacteria
Description: partial 16S ribosomal RNA
Rfam family: Bacterial small subunit ribosomal RNA
Source: RNAcentral